GAUGAACGCUGGCGGCGUGCCUAAUACAUGCAAGUCGAGCGAACAGACGAGGAGCUUGCUCCUCUGACGUUAGCGGCGGACGGGUGAGUAACACGUGGAUAACCGACCUAUAAGACUGGGAUAACUUCGGGAAACCGGAGCUAAUACCGGAUAAUAUAUUGAACCGCAUGGUUCAAUAGUGAAAGACGGUUUUGCUGUCACUUAUAGAUGUAUCCGCGCCGCAUUAGCUAGUUGGUAAGGUAACGGCUUACCAAGGCAACGAUGCGUAGCCGACCUGAGAGGGUGAUCGGCCACACUGGAACUGAGACACGGUCCAGACUCCUACGGGAGGCAGCAGUAGGGAAUCUUGCGCAAUGGGCGAAAGCCUGACGGAGCAACGCCGCGUGAGUGAUGAAGGUCUUCGGAUCGUAAAACUCUGUUAUUAGGGAAGAACAGAUGUGAAAGUAACUAUGCACGUCUUGACGGUACCUAAUCAGAAAGCCACGGCUAACUACGUG
Molecule: ribosomal RNA, 497 nt
Filed under: uncultured bacterium
Lineage: Bacteria
Description: partial 16S ribosomal RNA
Rfam family: Bacterial small subunit ribosomal RNA
Source: RNAcentral